AUAAAGCAUCAUAAGGCGCCUGUGCCUGAUGUUUUCGCAGCUGAGUUUUAUCAACAUUUUUGGGAAGUAACUGGUGUUGGUUUACUUAAAUUGUUUAAUUAUUUUUAUCAUGGUAAACUAGAUUUAGUUAGAUUUAACUAUGGAGUGCUCAGUCUGCUUCCCAAAUAUGUGGGGGCCGAAACACUACAAUAGUAUAGACCUAUAUGCCUAUCUAAUGUGAUUUUUAAAUUUACUAAGGUAAUUAAUAAUAGGGCAAGUAUAGUAGCUGACAAAAUUAUAACUCCUGUGCAAACAACAUUUAUUAAAGGUAGAUAUAUAUUAGAUGGAUUGGUGGUGUUACACGAAGUCAUGCAUGAAGUACAUAAGAAAAAGAUGGAUGUUUUUUAA
Molecule: ribosomal RNA, 387 nt
Filed under: Triticum aestivum (bread wheat)
Lineage: Eukaryota; Viridiplantae; Streptophyta; Magnoliopsida; Poales; Poaceae
Description: partial small subunit ribosomal RNA
Source: RNAcentral